Molecule: small nuclear RNA, 105 nt
Organism: Nomascus leucogenys (northern white-cheeked gibbon)
Lineage: Eukaryota; Metazoa; Chordata; Mammalia; Primates; Hylobatidae
Source: Ensembl
GUGCUCAUUUCUGCAGCACAUAUACUAAAAUUUCAAAGGUUAAAGAGAUUAGCAUGGCCACCGGGCAAGGAUGACACACAAAUUCAUGAAGCAUUCCAUAUUGGA